GAGUUUGAUCAUGGCUCAGAUUGAACGCUGGCGGCAUGCCUUACACAUGCAAGUCGAACGGCAGCAUGAUCUAGCUUGCUAGAUUGAUGGCGAGUGGCGAACGGGUGAGUAAUACAUCGGAACGUGCCCUGUAGUGGGGGAUAACUAGUCGAAAGAUUAGCUAAUACCGCAUACGACCUGAGGGUGAAAGUGGGGGACCGCAAGGCCUCAUGCUAUAGGAGCGGCCGAUGUCUGAUUAGCUAGUUGGUGGGGUAAAGGCCCACCAAGGCGACGAUCAGUAGCCGGUCUGAGAGGACGAUCAGCCACACUGGGACUGAGACACGGCCCAGACUCCUACGGGAGGCAGCAGUGGGGAAUUUUGGACAAUGGGCGAAAGCCUGAUCCAGCAAUGCCGCGUGUGUGAAGAAGGCCUCGGUUGUAAG
This 422-nucleotide ribosomal RNA is filed under the name uncultured microorganism. RNAcentral describes it as "bacterial SSU rRNA". It matches the Rfam family "Bacterial small subunit ribosomal RNA", at positions 9 to 429 of the family's 1533-position model. The record is from RNAcentral.